RNAcentral lists this ribosomal RNA (450 nucleotides) under uncultured bacterium. RNAcentral's name for it is "partial 16S ribosomal RNA". It matches the Rfam family "Bacterial small subunit ribosomal RNA", at positions 338 to 795 of the family's 1533-position model. The record is from RNAcentral.
CCUACGGGUGGCUGCAGUAGGGAAUAUUGGACAAUGGGCGCAAGCCUGAUCCAGCCAUCCCGCGUGAAGGAUUAAGGCCCUCUGGGUUGUAAACUUCUUUUCUUUGGGAAUAAAAACUCCGAUUCAUCGGAGCUUGAAGGUACCAGAGGAAUAAGCACCGGCUAACUCCGUGCCAGCAGCCGCGGUAAUACGGAGGGUGCAAGCGUUAUCGGGAUUCAAGGGGGUUAAGGUGGCUGUGUAAGGCUGUGUUGAAAGCCCGGAGCUCAACUCCGGAACUGCCAUUGAUACUGCUUAGCUUGAAUCAGGUCGAGGUGGAUGGAAUAUUACAUGUAGCGGUGAAAUGCUUAGAUAUGUAAUAGAACACCGAUUGCGAAGGCAGUUCACUAGGCCUGUAUUGACACUGAGGCACGAAAGCGUGGGGAUCAAACAGGAUUAGAUACCCCAGUAGUC